Molecule: ribosomal RNA, 1349 nt
Filed under: Nilus esimoni
Lineage: Eukaryota; Metazoa; Arthropoda; Arachnida; Araneae; Pisauridae
Description: SSU rRNA
Rfam family: Eukaryotic small subunit ribosomal RNA
Source: RNAcentral
AUCCAAGGAAGGCAGCAGGCGCGCAAAUUACCCACUCCCAGAACGGGGAGGUAGUGACGAAAAAUAACAAUACGGGACUCUUUUGAGACCCCGUAAUUGGAAUGAGUACACUCUAAAUCCUUUAACGAGGAUCCAUUGGAGGGCAAGUCUGGUGCCAGCCGCCGCGGUAAUUCCAGCUCCAAUAGCGUAUAUUAAAGUUGUUGCGGUUAAAAAGCUCGUAGUUGGAUCUCAGUUCCAGACGGGUGGUCCGCCGAACGGUGGUUACUGCCUGUUCUGAACAGCCAGCCGGUUUCUCUUGAUGAUCUUCACCGGUUGUCUUGGGUGACCGGCUAGUUUACUUUGAAAAAAUUAGAGUGCUCAAAGCAGGCGUGACGCCUGAAUAAUGGUGCAUGGAAUAAUGGAAUAGGACCUCGGUUCUAUUUUGUUGGUUUUCGGAACACGAGGUAAUGAUUAAAAGGGACAGACGGGGGCAUUCGUAUUGCGACGCUAGAGGUGAAAUUCUUGGACCGUCGCAAGACGAACUACUGCGAAAGGCUUUGCCAAGAAUGUUUUCAUUAAUCAAGAACGAAAGUUAGAGGUUUGAAGGCGAUCAGAUACCGCCCUAGUUCUAACCAUUAACGAUGCCAGCCAGCGAUCCGGGUGUGUUCCUCAAAUGACACGCCGGGCAGCUUCCGGGAAACCAAAGCUUUUGGGUUCCGGGGGAAGUAUGGUUGCAAAGCUGAAACUUAAAGGAAUUGACGGAAGGGCACCACCAGGAAUGGAGCCUGCGGCUUAAUUUGACUCAACACGGGAAAACUUACCCGGCCCGGACACAGGAAGGAUUGACAGAUUAAGAGCUCUUUCUUGAUUCUGUGGGUGGUGGUGCAUGGCCGUUCUUAGUUGGUGGAGCGAUUUGUCUGGUUAAUUCCGAUAACGAACGAGACUCUAGCCUACUAAAUAGACGUUCCGAUCAUCUCCGUCGGACGUUCUUCUUAGAGGGACAAGCGGCGUUUAGCCGCACGAGACAGAGCAAUAACAGGUCUGUGAUGCCCUUAGAUGUCCGGGGCCGCACGCGCGCUACAUUGAAGGAAUCAGCGUGUGCUUUCCCGGUCCGACAGGACUGGGUAACCCGUUGAACCUCCUUCGUGCUGGGGAUAGGAGCUUGUAAUUGUUCUCCUUGAACGAGGAAUUCCCAGUAAGCACGAGUCAUCAGCUCGUGUUGAUUACGUCCCUGCCCUUUGUACACACCGCCCGUCGCUACUACCGAUUGAAUGAUUUAGUGAGGUCCUCGGACUGGCGCUCGGAGCGGCCUUCGGGUCGCGCCGGCGUGCCGGAAAGAUGACCAAACUUGAUCAUUUAGAGGAAGUAAA